AUUCAGUUGACGAGUCCCAAAUGGGACGAAAUGAGAAUCCUGAAU
This 45-nucleotide non-coding RNA is filed under the name Trichobilharzia regenti. Lineage: Eukaryota; Metazoa; Platyhelminthes; Trematoda; Strigeidida; Schistosomatidae. The record is from RNAcentral.